CCCUACGGGGGGCAGCAGUGAGGAAUAUUGGUCAAUGGUCGGGAGACUGAACCAGCCAAGCCGCGUGAGGGAUGAAGGUACAGAGUAUCGUAAACCUCUUUUGUCAGGGAACAAAGGCGGGGACGUGUCCCCGGAUGAGUGUACCUGAAGAAAAAGCAUUGGCUAACUCCGUGCCAGCAGCCGCGGUAAUACGGAGGAUGCGAGCGUUAUCCGGGUUUAUUGGGUUUAAAGGGUGCGCAGGCGGUCUGUUAAGUCAGCGGUCAAAGCCCGGGGCUCGACCCCGGCCCGCCGUUGAAACUGGCAGU
RNAcentral lists this ribosomal RNA (305 nucleotides) under uncultured bacterium. RNAcentral's name for it is "bacterial SSU rRNA". It matches the Rfam family "Bacterial small subunit ribosomal RNA", at positions 337 to 640 of the family's 1533-position model. The record is from RNAcentral.